CCCUUAGAUGUUCUGGGCCGCACGCGCGCUACACUGACGGAGCCAACGAGUAUUUUCCUUGUCCGGAAGGACUGGGUAAUCUUGUGAAACUUUGUCGUGCUGGGGAUAGAGCAUUGUAAUUAUUGCUCUUCAACGAGGAAUUCCUAGUAAGCGUGAGUCAUCAGCUCGCGUUGAUUACGUCCCUGCCCUUUGUACACACCGCCCGUCGCUACUACCGAUUGAAUGGUUUAGUGAGGCCUUCGGAUCCGCGACUCGUUUUGUGGAGAAGUUGGACAAACUCAGUCAUUUAGAGGAAGUAAAAGUCGUAACA
Molecule: ribosomal RNA, 310 nt
Filed under: uncultured eukaryote
Lineage: Eukaryota
Description: partial 18S ribosomal RNA
Rfam family: Eukaryotic small subunit ribosomal RNA
Source: RNAcentral